GCCGAAGUGGUGGAAUCGGUAGACACGACGGUCUCAAAAACCGUUGCCUUCUGGGCGUGCCGGUUCGAUUCCGGCCUUCGGCA
Molecule: transfer RNA, 83 nt
Filed under: Desulfuromonas soudanensis
Lineage: Bacteria; Pseudomonadati; Thermodesulfobacteriota; Desulfuromonadia; Desulfuromonadales; Desulfuromonadaceae
Rfam family: tRNA
About the family: Transfer RNA (tRNA) molecules are approximately 80 nucleotides in length.
Source: Rfam by way of RNAcentral